UUUAUGGAGAGUUUGAUCCUGGCUCAGGAUGAACGCUGGCGGCGUGCCUAAUACAUGCAAGUCGAGCGAACGGACGAGAAGCUUGCUUCUCUGAUGUUAGCGGCGGACGGGUGAGUAACACGUGGAUAACCUACCUAUAAGACUGGGAUAACUUCGGGAAACCGGAGCUAAUACCGGAUAAUAUUUUGAACCGCAUGGUUCAAAAGUGAAAGACGGUCUUGCUGUCACUUAUAGAUGGAUCCGCGCUGCAUUAGCUAGUUGGUAAGGUAACGGCUUACCAAGGCAACGAUGCAUAGCCGACCUGAGAGGGUGAUCGGCCACACUGGAACUGAGACACGGUCCAGACUCCUACGGGAGGCAGCAGUAGGGAAUCUUCCGCAAUGGGCGAAAGCCUGACGGAGCAACGCCGCGUGAGUGAUGAAGGUCUUCGGAUCGUAAAACUCUGUUAUUAGGGAAGAACAUAUGUGUAAGUAACUGUGCACAUCUUGACGGUACCUAAUCAGAAAGCCACGGCUAACUACGUGCCAGCAGCCGCGGUAAUACGUAGGUGGCAAGCGUUAUCCGGAAUUAUUGGGCGUAAAGCGCGCGUAGGCGGUUUUUUAAGUCUGAUGUGAAAGCCCACGGCUCAACCGUGGAGGGUCAUUGGAAACUGGAAAACUUGAGUGCAGAAGAGGAAAGUGGAAUUCCAUGUGUAGCGGUGAAAUGCGCAGAGAUAUGGAGGAACACCAGUGGCGAAGGCGACUUUCUGGUCUGUAACUGACGCUGAUGUGCGAAAGCGUGGGGAUCAAACAGGAUUAGAUACCCUGGUAGUCCACGCCGUAAACGAUGAGUGCUAAGUGUUAGGGGGUUUCCGCCCCUUAGUGCUGCAGCUAACGCAUUAAGCACUCCGCCUGGGGAGUACGACCGCAAGGUUGAAACUCAAAGGAAUUGACGGGGACCCGCACAAGCGGUGGAGCAUGUGGUUUAAUUCGAAGCAACGCGAAGAACCUUACCAAAUCUUGACAUCCUUUGACAACUCUAGAGAUAGAGCUUUCCCCUUCGGGGGACAAAGUGACAGGUGGUGCAUGGUUGUCGUCAGCUCGUGUCGUGAGAUGUUGGGUUAAGUCCCGCAACGAGCGCAACCCUUAAGCUUAGUUGCCAUCAUUAAGUUGGGCACUCUAAGUUGACUGCCGGUGACAAACCGGAGGAAGGUGGGGAUGACGUCAAAUCAUCAUGCCCCUUAUGAUUUGGGCUACACACGUGCUACAAUGGACAAUACAAAGGGCAGCGAAACCGCGAGGUCAAGCAAAUCCCAUAAAGUUGUUCUCAGUUCGGAUUGUAGUCUGCAACUCG
Molecule: ribosomal RNA, 1332 nt
Filed under: Staphylococcus aureus
Lineage: Bacteria; Bacillati; Bacillota; Bacilli; Caryophanales; Staphylococcaceae
Description: bacterial SSU rRNA
Rfam family: Bacterial small subunit ribosomal RNA
Source: RNAcentral